This 624-nucleotide ribosomal RNA is filed under the name Escherichia coli. RNAcentral describes it as "partial 23S ribosomal RNA". It matches the Rfam family "Bacterial large subunit ribosomal RNA", at positions 566 to 1191 of the family's 2925-position model. Lineage: Bacteria; Pseudomonadati; Pseudomonadota; Gammaproteobacteria; Enterobacterales; Enterobacteriaceae. The record is from RNAcentral.
ACAAGCAGUGGGAGCACCCUUUUGGGUGUGACUGCGUACCUUUUGUAUAAUGGGUCAGCGACUUAUAUUCUGUAGCAAGGUUAACCGAAUAGGGGAGCCGAAGGGAAACCGAGUCUUAACUGGGCGUUAAGUUGCAGGGUAUAGACCCGAAACCCGGUGAUCUAGCCAUGGGCAGGUUGAAGGUUGGGUAACACUAACUGGAGGACCGAACCGACUAAUGUUGAAAAAUUAGCGGAUGACUUGUGGCUGGGGGUGAAAGGCCAAUCAAACCGGGAGAUAGCUGGUUCUCCCCGAAAGCUAUUUAGGUAGCGCCUCGUGAAUUCAUCUCCGGGGGUAGAGCACUGUUUCGGCAAGGGGGUCAUCCCGACUUACCAACCCGAUGCAAACUGCGAAUACCGGAGAAUGUUAUCACGGGAGACACACGGCGGGUGCUAACGUCCGUCGUGAAGAGGGAAACAACCCAGACCGCCAGCUAAGGUCCCAAAGUCAUGGUUAAGUGGGAAACGAUGUGGGAAGGCCCAGACAGCCAGGAUGUUGGCUUAGAAGCAGCCAUCAUUUAAAGAAAGCGUAAUAGCUCACUGGUCGAGUCGGCCUGCGCGGAAGAUGUAACGGGGCUAAACCAUG